RNAcentral lists this ribosomal RNA (254 nucleotides) under uncultured bacterium. RNAcentral's name for it is "partial 16S ribosomal RNA". It matches the Rfam family "Bacterial small subunit ribosomal RNA", at positions 524 to 776 of the family's 1533-position model. The record is from RNAcentral.
UACGUAGGGGGCAAGCGUUAUCCAGAUUUACUGGGCGUAAAGCGCGUGUAGGCGGCUGGUUAGGCGUGAUGUGAAAUCUUCCGGCUCAACCGGAAAACUGCAUUGCGAACCGGCCUGGCUAGAGUGCAGGAGAGGGAAGCGGAAUUCCAGGUGUAGCGGUGAAAUGCGUAGAUAUCUGGAGGAACACCAAUGGCGAAGGCAGCUCGCUGGGACGUUACUGACGCUGAGACGCGAAAGCGUGGGGAGCAAACAGG